UACGUAGGGGGCAAGCGUUGUCCGGAAUUACUGGGCGUAAAGAGCUCGUAGGUGGUUUGUCGCGUUGUUCGUGAAAACUCACAGCUCAACUGUGGGCGUGCGGGCGAUACGGGCAGACUGGAGUACUGCAGGGGAGACUGGAAUUCCUGGUGUAGCGGUGGAAUGCGCAGAUAUCAGGAGGAACACCGGUGGCGAAGGCGGGUCUCUGGGCAGUAACUGACGCUGAGGUGCGAAAGCGUGGGGAGCAAACAGG
This 253-nucleotide ribosomal RNA is filed under the name uncultured bacterium. RNAcentral's name for it is "partial 16S ribosomal RNA". It matches the Rfam family "Bacterial small subunit ribosomal RNA", at positions 524 to 776 of the family's 1533-position model. The record is from RNAcentral.